AAAGGAAUCAUGUUCUCCAGGGUUAAGGUCAGUAUGUAAUGUAAAGGAAUCAUGUUCUCCAGGGUUAAGGUCAGUAUGUAAUGUAAAGGAAUCAUGUUCUCCAGGGUUAAGGUCAGUAUGUAAUGUAAAGGAAUCAUGUUCUCCAGGGUUAAGGUCAGUAUGUAAUGUAAAGGAAUCAUGUUCUCCAGGGUUAAGGUCAGUAUGUAAUGUAAAGGAAUCAUGUUCUCCAGGGUUAAGGUCAGUAUGUAAUGUAAAGGAAUCAUGUUCUCCAGGGUUAAGGUCAGUAUGUAAUGUAAAGGAAUCAUGUUCUCCAGGGUUAAGGUCAGUAUGUAAUGUAAAGGAAUCAUGUUCUCCAGGGUUAAGGUCAGUAUGUAAUGUAAAGGAAUCACGUUCUCCAGGGUUAAGGUCAGUAUGUAAUGUAAAGGAAUCACGUUCUCCAGGGUUAAGGUCAGUAUGUAAUGUAAAGGAAUCAUGUUCUCCAGGGUUAAGGUCAGUAUGUAAUGUAAAGGAAUCAUGUUCUCCAGGGUUAAGGUCAGUAUGUAAUGUAAAGGAAUCAUGUUCUCCAGGGUUAAGGUCAGUAUGUAAUGUAAAGGAAUCAUGUUCUCCAGGGUUAAGGUCAGUAUGUAAUGUAAAGGAAUCAUGUUCUCCAGGGUUAAGGUCAGUAUGUAAUGUAA
Molecule: long non-coding RNA, 674 nt
Organism: Oncorhynchus keta (chum salmon)
Lineage: Eukaryota; Metazoa; Chordata; Actinopteri; Salmoniformes; Salmonidae
Exons: 4
Source: RefSeq, a predicted model, not a curated record